CUCCUACGGGAGGCAGCAGCAGGGAAUAUUGCGCAAUGGGCGAAAGCCUGACGCAGCAACGCCGCGUGGGGGAUGAAGGCUCUCGGGUUGUAAACCCCUUUCAGUGGGAACGAAAAUGACGGUACCCACAGAAGAAGCCCCGGCCAACUACGUGCCAGCAGCCGCGGUAACACGUAGGGGGCAAGCGUUGUCCGGAUUUAUUGGGCGUAAAGAGCUCGUAGGCGGUUCGGUAAGUCGGGUGUGAAAACUCCAAGCUCAACUUGGAGACGCCACCCGAUACUGCUGUGACUAGAGUCCGGUAGGGGAGCGUGGAAUUCCUGGUGUAGCGGUGAAAUGCGCAGAUAUCAGGAGGAACACCA
RNAcentral lists this ribosomal RNA (359 nucleotides) under uncultured bacterium. RNAcentral describes it as "bacterial SSU rRNA". It matches the Rfam family "Bacterial small subunit ribosomal RNA", at positions 336 to 711 of the family's 1533-position model. The record is from RNAcentral.